UGGGGAAUAUUGGACAAUGGGCGCAAGCCUGAUCCAGCCAUGCCGCGUGAGUGACGAAGGUCUUCGGAUUGUAAAACUCUUUUGGCGGGGACGAUAAUGACGGUACCCGCAGAAUAAGCCCCGGCUAACUUCGUGCCAGCAGCCGCGGUAAUACGAAGGGGGCUAGCGUUGUUCGGAAUCACUGGGCGUAAAGCGCACGUAGGCGGAUGUGCCAGUCAGGGGUGAAAUCCCGGAGCUCAACUCCGGAACUGCCUCUGAUACUGCACGUCUUGAGUUCGAGAGAGGUGGGUGGAAUUCCUAGUGUAGAGGUGAAAUUCGUAGAUAUUAGGAAGAACACCGGUGGCGAAGGCGGCCCACUGGCUCGAUACUGACGCUGAGGUGCGAAAGCGUGGGGAGCAAACAGGAUUAGAUACCCAAGUAGUCCCUGAGCGGGCUGGCAAGGCGCAU
This 447-nucleotide ribosomal RNA is filed under the name uncultured bacterium. Its description in RNAcentral is "bacterial SSU rRNA". It matches the Rfam family "Bacterial small subunit ribosomal RNA", at positions 355 to 825 of the family's 1533-position model. The record is from RNAcentral.